GACGAACGCUGGCGGCGUGCUUAACACAUGCAAGUCGAACGGAAAGGCCCUGCUUUUGUGGGGUGCUCGAGUGGCGAACGGGUGAGUAACACGUGAGUAACCUGCCCCUGACUUUGGGAUAACUUCAGGAAACUGGGGCUAAUACCGGAUAGGAGCUCCUGCUGCAUGGUGGGGGUUGGAAAGUUUCGGCGGUUGGGGAUGGACUCGCGGUUUAUCAGUUUGUUGGUGGGGUAGUGGCUUACCAAGUCUUUGACGGGUAGCCGGCCUGAGAGGGUGACCGGCCACAUUGGGACUGAGAUACGGCCCAGACUCCUACGGGAGGCAGCAGUGGGGAAUAUUGCACAAUGGGCGGAAGCCUGAUGCAGCAACGCCGCGUGCGGGAUGACGGCCUUCGGGUUGUAAACCUCUUUCGCCUGUGACGGAGCGUGAGUGACGGUAAUGGGUAAAGAAGCACCGGCUAACUACGUG
This 468-nucleotide ribosomal RNA is filed under the name uncultured bacterium. RNAcentral's name for it is "partial 16S ribosomal RNA". It matches the Rfam family "Bacterial small subunit ribosomal RNA", at positions 28 to 507 of the family's 1533-position model. The record is from RNAcentral.